UAGCAGCACGUAAAUAUUGGUGUGUGAGACUAGACCCCAACCCCAAUGUUGGCAGUGCUGCUUCA
This is a microRNA precursor of Gadus morhua (Atlantic cod), 65 nucleotides long. Ensembl annotates it as gmo-mir-16a. Its record names the gene gmo-mir-16a. The record is from Ensembl. Lineage: Eukaryota; Metazoa; Chordata; Actinopteri; Gadiformes; Gadidae.